CCCUUAGACGUUCUGGGCCGCACGCGCGCUACACUGACCAGUGCAACAAGCAUCCGUCCUUGGCCGACAGGCCCGGGCAAUCUUUGAACGCUGGUCGUGGUGGGGAUAGACUUUUGCAAUUUUUGGUCUUCAACGAGGAAUUCCUAGUAAACGCAAGUCAUCAACUUGCAUUGAUUACGUCCCUGCCCUUUGUACACACCGCCCGUCGCACCUACCGAUUGAAUGGUCCGGUGAAGCCUCCGGAUUGGUGCGCACCUCGGUGCCGCCGAGAAGUUGGCUAAACCUUACCAUUUAGAGGAAGGUGAAGUCGUAACA
Molecule: ribosomal RNA, 315 nt
Filed under: uncultured eukaryote
Lineage: Eukaryota
Description: partial 18S ribosomal RNA
Rfam family: Eukaryotic small subunit ribosomal RNA
Source: RNAcentral